Molecule: long non-coding RNA, 267 nt
Filed under: Homo sapiens (human)
Lineage: Eukaryota; Metazoa; Chordata; Mammalia; Primates; Hominidae
Description: non-protein coding TTTY19:2
Source: RNAcentral
ACAGUCCCAUUGAGCAACACUUCAAUGAAUGCACCCCUCCAAAUUGAGAAGGCCAUGAAGAUGAAAUGAAAUAGUCUAGAUUCCCAGUGAAGUUGCAAGACAUCUUCUACCCCUCAACAGACUGUAUCUUCACCUCUAUCUGACCUUAUUGCUGCUCACAUUAUUUGUCUCAAGAUAAAAUCCCAAAACUCUGGAGGGGUGCUGCCUCACAAGAUGCAUCACCUGCUCAGUUGGGAACCAAAUUUGAGGUAAAUUCAAGGUGCCCUG